UUUCGAAUCAUUCACAAUGGGCGAAAGCCUGAUGGUGCGACGCCGCGUGAGGGACGAAGGUCUUCGGAUUGUAAACCUCUGUCACCGGGGAAGAAACGCUAUGAGCUAACAGUUCAUAGCCUGACUUAACCCGGAGAGGAAGCAGUGGCUAACUCUGUGCCAGCAGCCGCGGUAAUACAGAGACUGCAAGCGUUAUUCGGAUUCACUGGGCGUAAAGGGUGCGCAGGCGGCCAUGUGUGUCUGGUGUGAAAUCUCGGGGCUUAACGCCGAAAUGGCGCCGGAAACUAGAUGGCUAGAGUACUGAAGAGGGUAGCGGAAUUCAUGGUGUAGCAGUAAAAUGCGUAGAUAUCAUGAGAAACACCAAUGGCGAAGGCAGCUACCUGGACAGUUACUGACGCUCAGGCACGAAAGCGUGGGGAGCAAAAG
Molecule: ribosomal RNA, 426 nt
Filed under: uncultured bacterium
Lineage: Bacteria
Description: bacterial SSU rRNA
Rfam family: Bacterial small subunit ribosomal RNA
Source: RNAcentral